ACCAACCGACGGGGAGUUCGUGGAACGACGAGCUGAGAGGGUGACACGCUGUCACCGACCCGAGAACCUGAUCCGGAUCAUGCCGGCGUAGGAAGUCGAGAAGCACGUGAA
RNAcentral lists this non-coding RNA (111 nucleotides) under Ilumatobacter coccineus. RNAcentral describes it as "TPP sequence". It matches the Rfam family "TPP riboswitch aptamer (THI element)". From Rfam's summary of the family: Vitamin B(1) in its active form thiamin pyrophosphate (TPP) is an essential coenzyme that is synthesised by coupling of pyrimidine and thiazole moieties in bacteria. The previously detected thiamin-regulatory element, thi box was extended, resulting in a new, highly conserved RNA secondary structure, the THI element, which is widely distributed in eubacteria and also occurs in some archaea. Lineage: Bacteria; Bacillati; Actinomycetota; Acidimicrobiia; Acidimicrobiales; Ilumatobacteraceae. RNAcentral also lists the same sequence under 1 other name. The record is from RNAcentral.